Long non-coding RNA from Sarcophilus harrisii (Tasmanian devil), 1977 nucleotides. RefSeq lists it as uncharacterized. The transcript has 3 exons. The record is from RefSeq and is a predicted model, not a curated record. NCBI's taxonomy places the organism in Eukaryota, Metazoa, Chordata, Mammalia, Dasyuromorphia, Dasyuridae.
UUAUCUUUCAUUUUAUAUUAGCACUAGAUAUGGUCUGAGACCUGCUCCUUUCUACUUAGCAAAUGGGAAUAAAGGAAGCAGCUGGGCACAUGGAGAGAGCAGGGCUCUGGAGCCAGAAAACUGGUGCUUACUACCCCUGGGACCUGGGAAAUUACUCUACUGGCCUCGGUUUCCUGAACUGUAGUUGGAAUAAUUGAGUCUCUGAGGUUUUGGUUACUUCUAAAGUGAUCCUCAAUUUAAAUGUUCCACUGGUGCUUAUGGCUUCUGCUGGUGUGACCUUGUUUACCUUCAGUUCCCUCUAUAACAAAGGGUUCUUUCCAAUUCUAGACCCGAUGAUCCUAGGAUACAAAGUCUCCCUCCCCCAAGCCCAUGCAGCUUUUUGGACACAGUGCCAAACUUGGUGCCAGGAAGAUCUGAGUUCAAAUUCUGUCUUGGGCAUUUCUCCACAGGAUGAUCUCUAACUUCUCCAUGCUCUUAGGCAACCAUUGGCUACAGAUGACCUACCAGAUGUAUAUGGGGAGAGGUAGUUCCAACACUGGAAGUUCCUAUAUUCAAUAAAAUCACAGAUCUGGACCAAAAAUAAGAAAAAAUAACCCAAAGAAAGGCCCAUUUAGUUUCUCUUUCCAUGCAAUGCCUUUCUGAGAAAGAAUUAGGACUCAAUUCAUUCAGCAUAUGCCUCUUCUUUUGCUAGAGUCCCACCUAUCUCCAUGCACGGUAAGGUCUUGAUUAGCUCUUUUUUGGGCUCUUUGACUUUCUAGUAGCUGAGUGACAGGGUCACCAGAGUCCUUUCUUUAUAAAUCUAGACUCUUGGGGUCAGAAUGAAUCUUGGUCUAAACUCCCCAUAUUAAAAAACGAGGAAACAGAGCCACAGUGACUAAUACCCAGUUAAAGGCAGAAUUGGUCUCCGACCUUCUAGCGUGGUACCCUUUUCACCUUUUCUUCUUUCCUCCUCUCUUUCCCUAAAAGAUUCCCUGUGAAUUUUCCAACAAAUCCCUGUUUCCCAGUCCUCAGUUUGCAGGAAUACAGGCUUUCCAGGCUCUCGACAAAGCUUCUUUGGCUUGAGGGAGAAUAAUGUCGCCGAGCUGCCUCCUUCACUAAAGCCAGGUUGUCACACAGGGCCCGUCGUGUUCCUCGUGCGCUGCUUGGAUAUGAUCUUGGGGAUUAGAAAGGGAGCACUUUCAGGUCAAGCUCUGGCAUACGGCUUGAGGGGAGGAAUUGUGGGAGGCUGCAAUAGAAGAAGAGGAAACUCGGGGAAGGAGGAAGGGCAGAGAUGAAAAUCCCAAAGGCAGCUGAUGAUCUGAGGAUUUCCCUGAGAGAAUGUCAUUUGCUCGAGGGAAGAGACUUUUGGAGAGAUGAAAGGAGAACUUACCAUGGGGAAGAGAAGUGUGGCAGGAGGAUGGAAAGAAGGAGAACCUGCAGACAGAUCAACUAGGAUUAUGAAAAAAGCCAAAGCCUUUAACAGGAGUUGAGGCAUCUGAGCAAAUAGAUAAAUUGUAUUGAAAUGAGCUUGUGGUGAGGGAGAGUUUGAAGAUGUACUUCUUUGACUGCUGAACGUGGUCCAGGAGGAAACAGAAUCAAGGACAAAAUCGUCAUCAUCAAUCAUCAUCAUCAUCAUCAUCCUCAUCAUCAAACAACAAGCACUUGUUAAGGACCAAUUGUGUACCAGGCUCUGUGCUAAAUUUUGGAGAUAUAAAGGAAGGCCAACAUAUGGCUACUGACCUCAAGGAGCUUAUAUUUUCAUGGAGUAAGACAACAUGGAAACAACUAUGUGUAUGCAAGGUCAGUACAGGAUAAAUUGGAGGUGAGCCUUUUACAGAGGGUAAGAUUUCAUUUAAUAGAACGAUCUACCUUAGUGAAUGGUGAAAUAAUUUUUUGGGGGUCCAUAGAGGACAGGACAAAGGUAAAGAAGCUGAAAAACCAUUUUAUAAAAGUAAAUGUGGAAAACUAGAUUUACAUGUAAUUGGAAAAAUAAAAUAU